UACGUAGGUGGCAAGCGUUGUCCGGAUUUAUUGGGCGAUAAAGCGAACGCAGGCGGGAGAAUAAGUCAGCUGUGAAAGCCCCCAGCUUAACUGGGGAACUGCAACUGAAACUAUUUUUCUUGAGUGCAGAAGAGGAGAGUGGAACUCCAUGUGUAGCGGUGGAAUGCGUAGAUAUAUGGAAGAACACCAGUGGCGAAGGCGGCUCUCUGGUCUGUAACUGACGCUGAGGUUCGAAAGCAUGGGUAGCGAACAGG
Molecule: ribosomal RNA, 254 nt
Filed under: uncultured bacterium
Lineage: Bacteria
Description: partial 16S ribosomal RNA
Rfam family: Bacterial small subunit ribosomal RNA
Source: RNAcentral